Molecule: non-coding RNA, 95 nt
Organism: Mycena latifolia
Lineage: Eukaryota; Fungi; Basidiomycota; Agaricomycetes; Agaricales; Mycenaceae
Source: the annotation of a GenBank genome assembly
GGCCUGGUGGUGUAGCGGCAACACACCUGUUUACAGUUCCCCUUCUUGUACCGAUUUCAGCAGGAAUCCCUUGUUCCGGAGUCAAGGCUAGGCCC